AUUGAACGCUGGCGGCAGGCCUAACACAUGCAAGUCGAGCGGAUGAAGGGAGCUUGCUCCUGGAUUCAGCGGCGGACGGGUGAGUAAUGCCUAGGAAUCUGCCUGGUAGUGGGGGAUAACGUCCGGAAACGGGCGCUAAUACCGCAUACGUCCUGAGGGAGAAAGUGGGGGAUCUUCGGACCUCACGCUAUCAGAUGAGCCUAGGUCGGAUUAGCUAGUUGGUGGGGUAAAGGCCUACCAAGGCGACGAUCCGUAACUGGUCUGAGAGGAUGAUCAGUCACACUGUAACUGAGACACGGUCCAGACUCCUACGGGAGGCAGCAGUGGGGAAUAUUGGACAAUGGGCGAAGGCCUGAUCCAGCCAUGCCGCGUGUGUGAAGAAGGUCUUCGGAUUGUAAAGCACUUUAAGUUGGGAGGAAGGGCAGUAAGUUAAUACCUUGCUGUUUUGACGUUACCAACAGAAUAAGCACCGGCUAACUUCGUG
RNAcentral lists this ribosomal RNA (484 nucleotides) under uncultured bacterium. RNAcentral describes it as "partial 16S ribosomal RNA". It matches the Rfam family "Bacterial small subunit ribosomal RNA", at positions 30 to 507 of the family's 1533-position model. The record is from RNAcentral.